Molecule: ribosomal RNA, 253 nt
Filed under: uncultured Lachnospiraceae bacterium
Lineage: Bacteria; Bacillati; Bacillota; Clostridia; Lachnospirales; Lachnospiraceae
Description: partial 16S ribosomal RNA
Rfam family: Bacterial small subunit ribosomal RNA
Source: RNAcentral
UACGUAGGGGGCAAGCGUUAUCCGGAUUUACUGGGUGUAAAGGGAGCGUAGACGGCAUAGCAAGUCUGAAGUGAAAGCCCGUGGCUCAACCGCGGAACUGCUUUGGAAACUGUUAAGCUGGAGUACUGGAGAGGCAGACGGAAUUCCUAGUGUAGCGGUGAAAUGCGUAGAUAUUAGGAGGAACACCAGUGGCGAAGGCGGUCUGCUGGACAGCAACUGACGCUGAGGCGCGAAAGCGUGGGGAGCAAACAGG